This is a long non-coding RNA of Amblyraja radiata (thorny skate), 451 nucleotides long. RefSeq lists it as uncharacterized. Lineage: Eukaryota; Metazoa; Chordata; Chondrichthyes; Rajiformes; Rajidae. The record is from RefSeq and is a predicted model, not a curated record. The transcript has 3 exons.
GGCCGAAGGGCCUGUUUCCAUGCUGUGAGUUAGAUCGCCAUCUAUUCCCUUCGCAACUGCAGUUCAUGGUGAUGAUGUACGUUUUCCACGACUGUUUGCAUGUUCCUGCAAGGCUUUUUUAUUGGAUUGGAAUCGCAAACGGCAUCAUUCUUCUCAUCAAUGCAAGGAACGGAAACGCAUAUCCUGUUCCUCCAGAGAUUCAAAUUGAAAAAUAAUUGUGUUAUAUGUAGCUCAGUAGCUCAUUAAUUUGUAAAACUCGUGUUAAUUAAGAAUAGUUAUGUAAAAUGUAUCCUCGAUUCCAAGAAAGAUAGUAGAAAUUGCUGUCCAAAACGGAAAGAACAGCUUGAUAUGAAAUACUUUAACAUCAGAGUAAGAAGAUGAUGGAUUGAAGCCCCUCUGAUGCAACAUGUAGCCCAGUCCAGCACCCAGGCCAGAACCAUCUACACUGCAC